AAAGUGGAGCAAUCCAUGAGUAAAGUGGCGACCGGGUGAGUAACACGUGACUAACCUACCUCCGAGUGGGGAAUAACUCCGGGAAACCGGGGCUAAUACCGCAUAACAUCGCAAGAUCAAAGCAGCAAUGCGCUUGGAGAGGGGGUCGCGGCUGAUUAGCUAGUUGGCGGGGUAACGGCCCACCAAGGCGAAGAUCGGUAUCCGGCCUGAGAGGGCGCACGGACACACUGGAACUGAAACACGGUCCAGACUCCUACGGGAGGCAGCAGUGGGGAAUUUUGCGCAAUGGGGGAAACCCUGACGCAGCAACGCCGCGUGGAGGAUGAAGCCCUUUGGGGCGUAAACUCCUUUCGACCAAGACGAUAAUGACGGUACUGGUGGAAGAAGCACCGGCUAACUCUGUGCCAGCAGCCGCGGUAAUACAGAGGGUGCGAGCGUUGUUCGGAAUUAUUGGGCGUAAAGGGCGCGUAGGCGGUGCCACAAGUCACUUGUGAAAUCUCCGGGCUUAACUCGGAGCCUGCAGGCGAAACUGUGGUGCUGGAGUGUGGGAGAGGUGCGUGGAAUUCCCGGUGUAGCGGUGAAAUGCGUAGAUAUCGGGAGGAACACCUGUGGCGAAAGCGGCGCACUGGACCAUAACUGACGCUGAGGCGCGAAAGCUAGGGGAGCAAACAGGAUUAGAUACCCUGGUAGUCCUAGCCCUAAACGAUGAUUGCUUGGUGUAGCAGGUACCCAAUCCUGCUGUGCCGCAGCUAACGCGAUAAGCAAUCCGCCUGGGGAGUACGGUCGCAAGGCCGAAACUC
Molecule: ribosomal RNA, 800 nt
Filed under: uncultured Bacillota bacterium
Lineage: Bacteria; Bacillati; Bacillota
Description: bacterial SSU rRNA
Rfam family: Bacterial small subunit ribosomal RNA
Source: RNAcentral